Molecule: transfer RNA, 85 nt
Filed under: Aliarcobacter butzleri RM4018
Lineage: Bacteria; Pseudomonadati; Campylobacterota; Epsilonproteobacteria; Campylobacterales; Arcobacteraceae
Description: Arcobacter butzleri RM4018 tRNA-Leu
Rfam family: tRNA
About the family: Transfer RNA (tRNA) molecules are approximately 80 nucleotides in length. Their secondary structure includes four short double-helical elements and three loops (D, anti-codon, and T loops). Further hydrogen bonds mediate the characteristic L-shaped molecular structure. tRNAs have two regions of fundamental functional importance: the anti-codon, which is responsible for specific mRNA codon recognition, and the 3' end, to which the tRNAs corresponding amino acid is attached (by aminoacyl-tRNA synthetases). tRNAs cope with the degeneracy of the genetic code in two manners: having more than one tRNA (with a specific anti-codon) for a particular amino acid; and 'wobble' base-pairing, i.e. permitting non-standard base-pairing at the 3rd anti-codon position.
Source: RNAcentral
CGGAUGUGGUGGAAUGGUAGACACGCCAUCUUGAGGUGGUGGUGAGCUAAGCUUGUGCGGGUUCAAGUCCCGCCAUCCGCACCAU